Molecule: ribosomal RNA, 722 nt
Filed under: Salmonella enterica subsp. enterica serovar Kentucky
Lineage: Bacteria; Pseudomonadati; Pseudomonadota; Gammaproteobacteria; Enterobacterales; Enterobacteriaceae
Description: partial 23S ribosomal RNA
Rfam family: Bacterial large subunit ribosomal RNA
Source: RNAcentral
AGGGAAACCGAGUCUUAACUGGGCGUUAAGUUGCAGGGUAUAGACCCGAAACCCGGUGAUCUAGCCAUGGGCAGGUUGAAGGUUGGGUAACACUAACUGGAGGACCGAACCGACUAAUGUUGAAAAAUUAGCGGAUGACUUGUGGCUGGGGGUGAAAGGCCAAUCAAACCGGGAGAUAGCUGGUUCUCCCCGAAAGCUAUUUAGGUAGCGCCUCGUGAACUCAUCUUCGGGGGUAGAGCACUGUUUCGGCUAGGGGGUCAUCCCGACUUACCAACCCGAUGCAAACUGCGAAUACCGAAGAAUGUUAUCACGGGAGACACACGGCGGGUGCUAACGUCCGUCGUGAAGAGGGAAACAACCCAGACCGCCAGCUAAGGUCCCAAAGUCACAGUUAAGUGGGAAACGAUGUGGGAAGGCUCAGACAGCCAGGAUGUUGGCUUAGAAGCAGCCAUCAUUUAAAGAAAGCGUAAUAGCUCACUGGUCGAGUCGGCCUGCGCGGAAGAUGUAACGGGGCUAAACUGUGCACCGAAGCUGCGGCAGCGACGCUUAUGCGUUGUUGGGUAGGGGAGCGUUCUGUAAGCCUGCGAAGGUGUCCUGUGAGGGAUGCUGGAGGUAUCAGAAGUGCGAAUGCUGACAUAAGUAACGAUAAUGCGGGUGAAAAGCCCGCUCGCCGGAAGACCAAGGGUUCCUGUCCAACGUUAAUCGGGGCAGGGUGAGUCGAC